RNAcentral lists this long non-coding RNA (650 nucleotides) under Androctonus crassicauda. Lineage: Eukaryota; Metazoa; Arthropoda; Arachnida; Scorpiones; Buthidae. The record is from RNAcentral.
UUUUUUGGGGUAUGGAGAUUUGCUUGAUCAAUUCAUACAUUCUUUAUAAACUAGAAAAAAAGAAAAGAAAAGAAAGGCCACUAAAUCAUUUGCACUAUCUAAAAACACUUGUGGAGCAAUUGAGAGGACCCUAUCAUUGCCAUUGUGAUCAAGCGUCGACGUCGAUCAUCAGUGAACCCCGACUAAAUGGAAAUCUCCAUGUUGUUUUGAAAGGGGGUAAAGAGGGAUUGCAAGGUUUGCUCUGACCGUAGUAAGCCUGGCGGUAGGCGUGAAACCUCGUAUUAUUGUGAUACGUGCCUUGACAAACCGAGGAUGCAUCUCGGGGAUUGUUUCAUAAAAUAUCACUCAAAAACCAACUACAGAGUGUAAUAUUUAUUAUUUUGUUUUAUUUUAUUAUUUUGUUUUGUACAACAUAAAAAAUAAAUAAAUUGUUGAAAUUUUAUUAUUUGUAUACCUUUGUUUGACUAUAAAAUCAUUUUAAAGUAUUCGUAGAAUGCUUCUCUAAUAUAGCUGAAAUCAUCUUGAGUUGCUCGUUAGCCUGAGCGAAAAAGGUCUCGAGUGCAAAGGGUUAAUAGUGUUUUUUUUUUUUAUUAUUUACUUAUACUUGUGAAUUCUAAGAAGUUUUGUAUCAAGAACUAUUUAUAUAGAGC